CGUCUACCCUUCUCAGAAGCAGAAAUCCUCAUUUGCCAAAGUGUAGAUAGUAUAAGGGGAGAAAACCUAUUCCAUGACUGAAGAAUUUUCCAAUGCAAAAAUGAAACUUUUUUUUUUUAUUUGAAGAUAAAACCCAAAAAUGAAGCACAAUACACAUAGUUCCCAGGACUGGUAGAAGUUAUAGCACUGCUCAGAUGUCUGGAUAAUAACCUGGAUUAUCCAUUCAUGCCACCUAAUCCAAGAUUUAUAGAGCUGAUGUCUUAACAUUGUGAUUCAUUUUAGGUAUCAGACUGAGAUAUAGUUAGUGCUACCUUGUUUUAUUAACAAUGAAUACCUAUUUACAGAACUUUAAUGGCCAGAAGUAAACAUUUAAAAUUUCUCUGCCAAGCAACCAAGGACAUAUUUAUUCUUCAGCCCCUUCUCACUUGAAGAACCAAUAAAAGCAAUAACAUUUUUUGAAAAUGUAUAUUAAACUUCAGACCCUCUGAGCUUUAGCUAGAUCUUUCAGAAAGAGUCUUAAUCUGGGAUCCCUGGGUGGCGCAGCGGUUUGGCGCCUGCCUUUGGCCCAGGGUACGAUCCUGGAGACCCGGGAUCGAAUCCCACGUCGGGCUCCCGGUGCAUGGAGCCUGCUUCUCCUUCUGCCUAUGUCUCUGUCUCUCUCUCUCUCUCUCUCUCUCUGUGUGACUAUCAUAAAUAAAUAAAAAUUUUUAAAAAAGAGUCUUAAUCUGUGUAUGGAUCCAAACUAUGAGACACUAUUACAGGCACCCUCAGAUGACAUGGUAAAGUGCAUAAUUGUCUCUGGAAUGCCCAGUCUCUCCUUCCAAGUCCAUUAACCCUACCAGGAUACUCUGGUUCCUUUCUGUCUAGGUUGUCAGGCUGCCCUGUUUCUCUUGAUCACACUAAAAGGUUAUUUUGAGGUAAAAUCUCUGGAACUCUCUCCCUCUCAUUCCUUUUCCCCAUGCUAACUUAGAUUCAUCUCACAGGUGUCAUUUGAAACAUCACUGCUUCUAGAAAGCCUUUUCCUAAGGUCUCAUAGCAAUUUCACUUUUCACAUAUUGAGUAAAUAACUUGUGUAACUAGAUUUCUCUGUCUGUCUUCGUCACUAGAGAACAAGCUUCAUGGGUCAGAGACCUUGACCAUCAUCCUUAUCAUUGGUAUAUAAGCCUAACAUAAUGCCUAGCAUGGAGUCAAUAAAUAUUUCAGGAGUGAUUGGAUGGGUAGCUGAAUCACUAAGCCAUCUAUGCUUUCUUUCUCAAAGAGAUCUUCAUUUUUUUUUCUAGAAAAAAAAUUUUUUGAGAGAGAGAGCAUGUGAGGGCGAUGGGGAAGAAGAGAGGGAUGGGAAAGAGAGAGAGAGAGAGAGAGAGAGAGAAUCUUAAGCAGGCUCCAUACUCAACAUGCUGAGCCCAAAGUGGGGCUUGAUCUCACAACCCUGAGAUCCAAAAUCAAGAGUUGAACACUUCACCAACUGAGACACCCAGGUGCCUCUCAAAAAUAUAUUCAUUUUACAAAGGAAUCAUGGGACACCUGAGUGGCUCACCAGUUGGGCAUCUGCCUUUGGCUCAGGGCCUGAUCCCGGAUUGGGCUCCUUGCAUGGAGCCUGCUUCUCCUCCCUCUGCCUAUGUCUCUGCCUCUCUAUGUGUCUCUCAUGAAUAAAUAAAUAAAAUCUUUAAAAUCAAUCAAUCAAUCAAUAAAUAGGAAUCAUUUGGGGCACCUGGGUGGUUCAGUGGUUGAGCAUCUGCCUUUGGCUCAGGUCAUGAUUCCAGAGUCCUGAGAUCAAGUCCCAUAUCACGCUCCCCACAGGAAGUCUGCUUCUGCCCAUGUCUCUGCCUCUCCCUCUGUCUCUUAUGAAUAAAUAAAUAAAAUCUUUUAAAAAAAUUAAAAAAUAAAAGGAAUCAUUUGUCAGGUAUUUAUAAGUUUUUACUACCCUGGAUCUAUUUAUCCUUUUUCAGGGAUCAAUAUCAUUUUUCUUCAGAGCAACACCCCACUCCUUACCCCAAUCCAGGAGUAGCUUAUCCUAAUAUCACAUCUCUCUGGCCACAGUGAUUAGUUCUAGAUAUGGCAAAUGACUAAAGUUAAACCAGUCAGAGCCAAUGAGGCAUAAUUCUGACUUUAUUGGAACUGCUGAAAAAGAGGCACACUUUCUUUCCACUGAGGUUGCUGAAAAGUGGGAUAUGGGCUUGAAGCAACAGGCAGCUUUCUUGCCCCUAUGACAGGAGAGAGGCUCUUAAGAAUGAAGCCACAUAUGAAAGCAGUGUCAUAAGCCUGAAUUCUGAUGACAUUAUUUAAAUCCUUAGAUCCAGGCAGGAUCUUUUGAGCUAUUUGAGCCAAUUUAUGUUCUUUGACACAAGUGUCAUCUGAGCUGUAUUCUGUGGUCACAAUCUCUUGACAAAGUGAAUUCAUUAUAAAUAAUUGCAGUUUAUUUAUUAUUUGUAAUGUGUUACCAUAGCAUGAAUAACUUGAGAACCAUUUAGACCAAAAUUUAUAAAAGCAGUUUUUGAUAAGUCUUGUUCAUUUUGUCAAAUAUGCUAUUAUAAACAUAACAAACUAUUUUAAAUCCAUGUUUGCUUUAUUAAAAUAUAACAACUUCUAUUUUAUAUACCACUGAUUCUGUUACUACCAGAUUAUAAAGGCCAAUUGGCUUGCAACAACACAAACGGAAUGCCUCUGACUUCUACAGCUAUUACACAUGAUGAAUGUUGAUUUGGAGAAUUUGCUUCAAUUUACACCAUACAUAUAUAUCACUCAAGGUGAAGUAUUUUAGAAGCUUCUUAUGAAUCCUAGGCAAUUCAUAUUAUUUUCAUUGUAUGAAAGAAAUACAUAUGUAUUUGUUUAUGAAUUGCUGCAAUAAAGAAGAAAUACUGAAAUUACCAUUCACUGAUAACUAAAAUUCCUUAUUUUGGAAUUAACUAUCAAAUCAAUGAGGGCUUACUCAUAUUUUAAUAUCAACAACAAAUGUAAUGGCCCCCUCCUGCUAAUUUAGCAAAAUUCUAAAAUAAUUUUUUUUUAAAGCUGCAGUCUAUCAUUUCUUUGUGACUCUUCUGUGGAAGAAAUAUAAGCAAAGGAAAAUAUUGGGUAUGUUAAUUUAUUUUCCUAACACAACAAUCCCUAAUUCAACUGUCCUUCCCUCCAGUGUGCCAUACCAAUUAUUCUACUUAGGAAAUUUUCUAACAUGAGAAAACAUCUUCUCAUAUGCCUACAAUGGGUUUAGCAGAUCAUUUUCUCAAAUCUAUUUAUCUUAUUUGGAUUCAAGAAUGCAUACUCAAUAAGGAAUACGCUUCAACAGCUUUUGAUUUGACAAUCUAUCUUUAUAAAGUAUUUCUUCUGAUUGUCUAGCAGUUCUAGGGACGCCGGGGUGGCUCAGCAGUUGAGCCUCAGACCGUGAUCCCGUGGUCCAGGGAUCAGGUGGGAAACCUGCUUCUCCCUCUGCCUAUGUCUCUGCCUCUCUCUCUCUCUCUGUAUCUCAUAAAUGAAUAAAUAAAUAAAAUCUUUUUUAAAAAAAUAAAUAAAUAAAUAAAUAAAUAAAUAAAAUAAAUAAAAUCUUUUUUUCAAGCAAGCAAGAAAGCAAGCAGUUCUAAACUUUGAGGCCCUGAUACAAAUGGUUCAUCUUUGGUCUUAUCAGCCAUCCUGGUGUCCUAGCUAAAUGGACUAAUAAAUUCCUUAUUCUAAUUAAACUGUACUGAAGUUUGAACUAAGUUUCUAUUACUUAAAACCUAGCACUCUCUAAUGAUAAUUGUUAUAUUUUUAGAAAUCAUACGUUUACUUAAAAUUUACUCCUGGGGUUUAUUAGGAAGACUUGCAAAUAACUAAUAUGUAAUGGUGUGAGUUGCUAUUUCCAAAGCAAGCUAAAAAUGCCUUACUUCUAUUAGAAUAGGAGAGAAUAAGUUUAAACAUUUUGCACUUAUAUAUAAUGCAUAGACUAAUUCAUUUGAACCAUCAGGGUACCAUCCAGGGUGCCUAAAAAUCUGGAAAUCAUGAAAAGUCAUUAGAUAUCUGCAUUAAUUAACACAGCACAGGUAAUUUCAUACACAAAUAAUUCUGCUCUUCCCGAAUCCACAUGUGACUAAAACUAGCACAUAGCAAGAUCUCUGCAGAAAUUCACAUGGAUUAAAAAAUUCUGGGUCAUCUGAAUCCAGAAGAGAUAACUAGAAAUACUUCAUUUUCAUACUUUAAAGACAUAUAUAACUUUAUUGAGGGUUACAGAGAAAAUUCUUUA
This 4213-nucleotide long non-coding RNA is filed under the name Canis lupus familiaris (dog). Its description in RNAcentral is "lncRNA (ENSCAFG00000053908.1, ENSCAFG00805013878.1)". The record is from RNAcentral. Lineage: Eukaryota; Metazoa; Chordata; Mammalia; Carnivora; Canidae.